UUGACACAGCUGUUCAUUGCAUGGCUUUUCUUUGAAGAGUUAGAAAAUCCUAAAGCUGUUAUUUAGUGAGUGAUACUCUUCUAUAAACUAUCUGGACUUCUAUAAAUAUUGCUGAUUCCAUGCAGGGCAUCAUUAAUCUUAUCUUCCUGGGAACAUCUCUAAUCACACUUCUACCCGCCCAUGUCAAUCUAGGACACAUCCAAGUCUUAGAAAUAGCAGUGGAAAAAACAUAAAAUGUUCUAACACAUGGAGUUGGCAGACAAGUGACAGACAAGAUCACAAACUGUGCAAAAUGAACAGUUUGCAAGUGAAUGUGCUUCCCUCUUUCCCUCAUCCAAGUGCUGGCUGAGUAUCCUAUGAUGAUUUCAGAUUAAUGCACUAGCCCUGGUUUUUGCUUCCUCCUAUGUGAAUUUCCCUUUAAUCAGGGCUGCCUACUUGACAGUAACAGAAUUACAUGCACUGGAACAUCUUUGGUUCCAUGACCAAACUGAUCUCUUAAGUUACAUUAUGAAUUCAGCAAGAGUUUUUCAGUUAAAACAAGAUGAUGUUAGAAUGGGUGUUUUGUCUGCUGUGCAACAACUGCAAGACCUAAUUACAAACUCUUCAUAUGAGCAAGCAGUAAAUAAGAAUAAAGGUCAGAAAGAAGAGCUGGAUACUUCUGUUCACCAUUACCUUAAUUGAACUCACCAUUCAGGAAAUGAAUCAUGAAUGCCAGGGAAAUGGUUUUCUUUAUUUCCAGGUUGGACUUAACACAUCUCCCUUGGAAAAGGUUAUCUAUCCAUUGCACUAGAAUCUAACUGCAAAAUGUGAAUUUGUGAAAAAGACCAGUGUUCCCUGGUAGACCACACAGGUAAGACUUACUACAGGCUCUUCCUGUACCCAAAUAUGUGACCUAGGAACACCUAUUGCACUGUCUGGCUGAAUACAGAAGUACUUCAUCCUCAGCAAAGGCAAACAUAUGGCACUGGCAACAUUCCAGGUCAACAGCCUCAAACAAACAAGAUGAUAAAUAUAAGACUGUUGUUGAUUGUCUUUGCUGUUAGCUAUUAUUCAUGGAGCAACCUUGAAGUGUGAUGGAAUGUAAGAUAUGAAACUCUUCAUUGCAGCAGUGGCUAGAACCUCAAGGGCAUUGCCAGGUUUUUACCCCAGACAUUAGUUGACAUUCUCUGUCAUGUAGCAGCCUGGGUAAUUUUUCAGCUGUCCAGGUACCAAUGAGAUUACCACUCCUCAGGCAGUUUUACUGCCUACUAUUCAGGGCAUCAUGGUUGUGAGGGUACAGGUUUAGAGUUUUAAAAUCCAGGGCUCCAAUAUUUUAUUAAGUUUAGGAGUAAUUUUUUUAACCAUCCUUAGAGAUAUUUUAUGAUAUUUUGGUAUGGUCCAGGGCAACAUGCUGUUGGUGGUCCAGCAUCAACAGAAGUGGUGGACCAGGUGACCCCCCCAAGAUCUCAUCCAACCUCAGUCAUCCUAUGAUUCUGUAUUGCCUCUUAGCUUGCUUCAGCAGCUUUAAGCCACAAUAAAUUUAAUCUGUAAUUCCCAUUAUGAACCAUGUGUAGCCUCUCUUGCAUUGUUUAGGAAGAAUGCAUAGCUCACAUGCCUGGGGGUGAUGCUUGGAGUCCAAAAGGUACUCAAAUCACUCAACAUGAACUUGAAUCCAACAGCAUGGUUGUAGCAAGAGAUAAGAUUGUAGCUUACCUUUGUAGCUCCGUGAAAAAAAAUAACUUAGAACAAAAUAACAUUUGGUUUUUCUAUUUUUGUUUGCUGUUUUUUGGGGUUUUUUUUCCUGUGGAGGUAGGAUGGUGGGCAUUUUAAAUGUGGAAGCUUUUCAAAGGUUGAGAUUUGACAGUUUUCCAAAGAUCUUUGUAUGCAUUUUGAGAUAUCUUCAUUUCCAUCUCACACAUUAAGAUCCAGAACAUAGCCUGCCCAACUGAUACCUUAAAAUUACAAAGUGAUUCUUGACAGGGUAGCAAGCUCCUAAUAAAUUAAUUUUAAAACUAGGACUAGAAUCUAAUGAGCCCAUUCUUCAGUAUAAUUUUGUUCAAAUGUUUUGUGAGGGCAUCUUUCAUUAUACAUUCAAUUUUGAUGAUAAUUUUUAGUGAUUGCUCAAAAUUAACACUUCCUUCUGCUAUCAGAGAGAAGAGAGUUAGAAAAAAUUUCUUAACAUAUCCAUAUAGUCUUGCAUUCAUGUUCAGUGUCACUGAAGCCAAUUCCCAAUGUAUCUAUUUAGUAAUUAUGUUUAAUAUGCAACCAUGUGAACAGAUUAGUGACUCCUUACUGGACUUAAAAUAACAGCAGGGAAGCAAAAAUAGAAGUAUAUAUUUAUUAGAGAAGUUAUCUAAAAUACAAUAUUAUUUUCCUUUUUAAAUUAGAACAUAUAUUAUUUCAAUGAAAAGAUAUUUUGUAUUAUUUCUAUGGUAAUAACUUUUAAAGAAAACAUUUGAUUUAGAACAUUUUUAAUUAAAAAUCCCAACACUACCAUUAAGACAUAACUAAGGCUGUUGACAGCAUGGGUAAAAAUGCAAAACAGUCUCAAAAAUAUUUACGUCAGUUUCUUAAAAUCUAAGAAGUCUAGUUCUAAAUAUUCAUUUUGCUUAACUUUCUCAAAAUACUUUUUUUCCUAAAUUAUAGCUAGAUUCUGUACUUCUGUGCUUCUUACAAAGCUUCAAGUUAUCAUUAGUUACGUGUACUAUCACACCAGUGGAUGAGGUUUCUUAAAAUGGCUUAUUUUGCUACCACCAUAUCCUCUCCCAAGUAGCCAACAUACUCUUAUACCAAAAUGUCAGUUGCAGUAAUAGUCACCAAAAUGCACACAGCCACCCACCCCCUGCCUCCCCCCACCCCACACCUUAAGAACCCUUUCCCUUUUGGCCAAGAGCCUUUCACAUUUCAUUAGCUGGCAUUUCAGAUGCAGAGCAAAAGAAA
Molecule: non-coding RNA, 2919 nt
Organism: Cyanistes caeruleus (blue tit)
Lineage: Eukaryota; Metazoa; Chordata; Aves; Passeriformes; Paridae
Source: RefSeq, a predicted model, not a curated record